Potamilus streckersoni is the source of this 73-nucleotide non-coding RNA. The record is from the annotation of a GenBank genome assembly. Lineage: Eukaryota; Metazoa; Mollusca; Bivalvia; Unionida; Unionidae.
GCUCCGGUAGCCUAGUGGUUAGAGCAUCCGCCUCGGAUGCAGGAGGUCGCGGGUUAGAACUACGUCCAAGUCA